UGGGGAAUAUUGGACAAUGGGCGCAAGCCUGAUCCAGCAAUGCCGCGUGGGUGAAGAAGGUCUUCGGAUUGUAAAGCCCUUUCGGCGGGGACGAUGAUGACGGUACCCGCAGAAGAAGCCCCGGCUAACUUCGUGCCAGCAGCCGCGGUAAUACGAAGGGGGCGAGCGUUGCUCGGAAUGACUGGGCGUAAAGGGCGCGUAGGCGGCUUGAGUGGUCAGGCGUGAAAUUCCUGGGCUUAACCUGGGGGCUGCGCUUGAGACGCUUGGGCUUGAGUGGGGAAGAGGGUCGUGGAAUUCCCAGUGUAGAGGUGAAAUUCGUAGAUAUUGGGAAGAACACCGGUGGCGAAGGCGGCGACCUGGUCCUUGACUGACGCUGAGGCGCGAAAGCGUGGGGAGCAAACAGGAUAGA
Molecule: ribosomal RNA, 409 nt
Filed under: uncultured bacterium
Lineage: Bacteria
Description: bacterial SSU rRNA
Rfam family: Bacterial small subunit ribosomal RNA
Source: RNAcentral